This 451-nucleotide ribosomal RNA is filed under the name uncultured bacterium. Its description in RNAcentral is "partial 16S ribosomal RNA". It matches the Rfam family "Bacterial small subunit ribosomal RNA", at positions 328 to 793 of the family's 1533-position model. The record is from RNAcentral.
CACCCAGACUCCUACGGGAGGCAGCAGUAGGGAAUAUUGCACAAUGGGCGAAAGCCUGAUGCAGCAACGCCGCGUGAAGGAAGAAGGGCUUCGGCUCGUAAACUUCUAUCAACAGGGACGAAAGAAAUGACGGUACCUGAAUAAGAAGCCCCGGCUAACUACGUGCCAGCAGCCGCGGUAAUACGUAGGGGGCAAGCGUUAUCUGGAUUUACUGGGUGUAAAGGGGGCGCCGGCGGCAGCGCAAGCCAGGAGUGAAAGCCCGGGGCCCAACCCCGGGACUGCUCUUGGAACUGCGCGGCUGGAGUGCAGGAGGGGCAGGCGGAAUUCCUGGUGUAGCGGUGAAAUGCGUAGAUAUCAGGAGGAACACCAGUGGCGAAGGCGGCUUACUGGACGGCAACUGACGCUGAGGCUCGAAAGCGUGGGGAGCAAACAGGAUUAGAUACCCGUGUAC